CAGCAGCCGCGGUAAUACGGAGGAUGCAAGCGUUAUCCGGAUUUAUUGGGUUUAAAGGGUGCGCAGGCGGACUAAUAAGUCAGUGGUGAAAUUUACAUGCUUAACAUGUGACGUGCCAUUGAUACUGUUAGACUAGUAUACAAAUGACGUAGCUGGAAUGUGUUAUGUAGCGGUGAAAUGCAUAGAUAUAACACAGAACACCGAUCGUGAAGACAGGUUACGAAUUUGUGAUAGACGCUCAUGCACGAAAGCGUGGGGAUCAAACAGGAUUAGAUACCCUGGUAGUCCACGCUGUAAACGAUGAUAACUUGUUGUUGGGCACAUAGUGCUCAGUGGCUAAGCGAAAGCGAUAAGUUAUCCACCUGGGGAGUACGAUCGCAAGGUUGAAACUCAAAGGAAUUGACGGGGGCCCGCACAAGCGGAGGAGCAUGUGGUUUAAUUCGAUGAUACGCGAGGAACCUUACCCGGGCUCGAACGUAUGUUGAAUAAUGUGGAAACAUGUUAGUCGUAAGACAACAUACGAGGUGGUGCAUGGCC
RNAcentral lists this ribosomal RNA (537 nucleotides) under uncultured archaeon. Its description in RNAcentral is "bacterial SSU rRNA". It matches the Rfam family "Bacterial small subunit ribosomal RNA", at positions 509 to 1050 of the family's 1533-position model. The record is from RNAcentral.